GACGAACGCUGGCGGCGUGCUUAACACAUGCAAGUCGAACGGAAAGGCCUCUUUCGGGGGGUACUCGAGUGGCGAACGGGUGAGUAACACGUGAGUAACCUGCCCUUGACUUUGGGAUAACUUCAGGAAACUGGGGCUAAUACCGGAUAGGAGCUCCUGCUGCAUGGUGGGGGUUGGAAAGUUUCGGCGGUUGGGGAUGGACUCGCGGCUUAUCAGCUUGUUGGUGGGGUAGUGGCUUACCAAGGCUUUGACGGGUAGCCGGCCUGAGAGGGUGACCGGCCACAUUGGGACUGAGAUACGGCCCAGACUCCUACGGGAGGCAGCAGUGCGGAAUAUUGCACAAUGGGUGGAAGCCUGAUGCAGCAACGCCGUGUGCGGGAUGACGGCCUUCGGGUUGUAAACCGCUUUCGCUCAUGACGAAGCUUUGUGUGACGGUAGUGGGUAAAGAAGCACCGGCUAACUACGUG
Molecule: ribosomal RNA, 467 nt
Filed under: uncultured bacterium
Lineage: Bacteria
Description: partial 16S ribosomal RNA
Rfam family: Bacterial small subunit ribosomal RNA
Source: RNAcentral